RNAcentral lists this ribosomal RNA (437 nucleotides) under uncultured bacterium. RNAcentral's name for it is "bacterial SSU rRNA". It matches the Rfam family "Bacterial small subunit ribosomal RNA", at positions 29 to 507 of the family's 1533-position model. The record is from RNAcentral.
AAUGAACGCUAGCGGUGUGCCUAACACAUGCAAGUUAUACGAGAAAGAAAUUUCUAGUAGCAAACGGGUGAGUAACGCGCGAGAAUCUGCUCUUAUGGAAGAGGAUAACAUUUAGAAAUAUUUGCUAAAACUCUAUAUGCUUUAAAAAAGUGAAAAAAGAAAUUUGCCUAAGAAAGAGCUCGCGUCUGAUUAGCUAGUUGGUAGGGUAAUGGCCUACCAAGGCGAUGAUCAGUAGCUGGUUUGAGAGAAUGAUCAGCCACACUGGCACUGAGAUACGGGCCAGACUCCUACGGGAGGCAGCAGUGAGGAAUAUUGCGCAAUGGGCGAAAGCCUGAAGCAGCAACGCCGCGUGUGCGAUGAAGGCCUUCGGUCGUAAGCACUUUCUACGAGAUGAGAAAGGACAGUAUCGUAGGAAUAAGUACUCGGCUAACUACGUG